RNAcentral lists this ribosomal RNA (195 nucleotides) under Leptogorgia violacea. RNAcentral's name for it is "partial internal transcribed spacer 2". Lineage: Eukaryota; Metazoa; Cnidaria; Anthozoa; Malacalcyonacea; Gorgoniidae. The record is from RNAcentral.
UUGGUUUACAAAACGUGAUUGUGUAUUACGUACACGAUCGAUUGAGGCUGUCGCGUCGUUGUUUCCAGCAAACUAACGUGCGUCCCUCGAAGUGCAGCGCGUUCGACGCUCUUGUCGUGCGAACAAGGCCCAAAGAAUUUUGUCCUUGCCAGCGCGACGUCUGUCGUUCGUCCCUUUAUUAUAAUCUCUUAACCU